This 404-nucleotide ribosomal RNA is filed under the name uncultured bacterium. RNAcentral's name for it is "bacterial SSU rRNA". It matches the Rfam family "Bacterial small subunit ribosomal RNA", at positions 355 to 775 of the family's 1533-position model. The record is from RNAcentral.
UGAGGAAUAUUGGUUAAUGUGCGAAAGCGCGAACCAGCAACGCCGCGUGUGCGAUGAAGGCCUUCGGGUCGUAAAGCACUUUUUGCAGGGACGAGGAAGGACGGUACCUGCAGAAUAAGUCUCGGCUAACUACGUGCCAGCAGCCGCGGUAAAACGUAGGAGACGAGCGUUAUCCGGAUUUACUGGGCGUAAAGCGCGUGCAGGCGGCAUGGCAAGUUGGAUGUGAAAACUCCCGGCUUAACUGGGAGAGGUCGUUCAAUACUGCCAGGCUUGAGAGUGGUAGAGGGAAGCGGAAUUCCGGGUGUAGUGGUGAAAUGCGUAGAUAUCCGGAGGAACACCAGUGGCGAAAGCGGCUUCCUGGCCCAUUUCUGACGCUCAGACGCGAAAGCUAGGGUAGCAAACGU